This 497-nucleotide ribosomal RNA is filed under the name uncultured bacterium. Its description in RNAcentral is "partial 16S ribosomal RNA". It matches the Rfam family "Bacterial small subunit ribosomal RNA", at positions 28 to 507 of the family's 1533-position model. The record is from RNAcentral.
GACGAACGCUGGCGGCGUGCCUAAUACAUGCAAGUAGAACGCUGAAGAGAGGAGCUUGCUCUUCUUAGAUGAGUUGCGAACGGGUGAGUAACGCGUAUGUAACCUGCCUGGUAGCGGGGGAUAACUAUUGGAAACGAUAGCUAAUACCGCAUAAAAUGGAUUAUCGCAUGAUAAUCCAUUGAAAGUUGCAAAUGCAUCACUACCAGAUGGACCUUCGUUUUAUUAGCUAGUUGGUGGGGUAACGGCUCACCAAGGCGACGAUACAUAGCCGACCUGAGAGGGUGAUCGGCCAAACUGGGAAUGAGACAAGGCCCAGAAGCCUACGGGAGGCAGCAGUAGGGAAUCGUCGGAAAGGGACGGAAGUCUGAACGAGAAACGCCGAGUGAGGGAAGAAGGGUGUCGGAUCGUAAAGCUCUGUUGUAAGAGAAGAAAGAGUGUGAGAGUGGAAAGUUCACACUGUGACGGUAUCUGACCAGAAAGGGACGGCUAACUACGUG